RNAcentral lists this long non-coding RNA (395 nucleotides) under Brassica napus (rape). Its description in RNAcentral is "long non-coding RNA (BNAP_LNC017322)". The record is from RNAcentral. Lineage: Eukaryota; Viridiplantae; Streptophyta; Magnoliopsida; Brassicales; Brassicaceae.
ACCAAACGCAGUGGUGCUCGUGGUGGUGAUUCAUGGAGCGUAAAGGUGGUCUCAUUCAUCACCUGUAUCCACCUUGUCUCCAACUUCUCUCCGUCAUCACCUCUCUCUCUCUCUCUCUCUCUGUGUUUGGUGGUGUUACGCCUGAGAAGAUUGGUGUUCAAGGCGAGUAGCAGUUACAUUGGCGGUGGUGCAGUGGUGGCCAACCGCCUAAGAAGAAGCUCCGGUGUGGCAAGAUUGACAGCGGUAAAGGCAGGCUGAGAUUGAAGGAGGAGGACGCUUGCUGAGAUUGACGGCGGAGAUGAAUCAAUGACGGCAAAGAUGAUUAGGUUUAGGUUUCUCUGGUUUAGUUGAGGUUUAUUUGGUUUACUUUAUUUUUAAAUUUUGGUUUAGUUUUG